UACGUAGGGUCCAAGCGUUAAUCGGAAUUACUGGGCGUAAAGCGUGCGCAGGCGGUUGUGCAAGACCGAUGUGAAAUCCCCGAGCUUAACUUGGGAAUUGCAUUGGUGACUGCACGGCUAGAGUGUGUCAGAGGGGGGUAGAAUUCCACGUGUAGCAGUGAAAUGCGUAGAGAUGUGGAGGAACACCGAUGGCGAAGGCAGCCCCCUGGGUCAAGAUUGACGCUCAUGCACGAAAGCGUGGGGAGCAAACAGG
Molecule: ribosomal RNA, 253 nt
Filed under: uncultured bacterium
Lineage: Bacteria
Description: partial 16S ribosomal RNA
Rfam family: Bacterial small subunit ribosomal RNA
Source: RNAcentral